CAGAGUACCAAUUGGAGGGCAAGUCUGGUGCCAGCAGCCGCGGUAAUUCCAGCUCCAAUAGCGUAUAUUAAACUUGUUGCAGUUAAAAAGCUCGUAGUUGUAUUUCAGCCUCGCGUUUUUUCCCUCUUUUCGGGUCUUUUCGCUGGCUUUGUUUUUACUUUGAGAAAAUUAGAGUGUUUCAAGCAGACUUUUGUCUUGAAUACUUCAGCAUGGAAUAAUAGAGUAGGACCUUGGUUCUAUUUUGUUGGUUUCGAGCCUUGGUAAUGGUUAAUAGGAACGGUUGGGGGCAUUCGUAUUUAACUGUCAGAGGUGAAAUUCUUAGAUUUGUUAAAGACGAACCACUGCGAAAGCAUUUGCCAAGGACGUUUUCAUUAAUCAAGAACG
RNAcentral lists this ribosomal RNA (384 nucleotides) under Babesia bigemina. RNAcentral describes it as "SSU rRNA". It matches the Rfam family "Eukaryotic small subunit ribosomal RNA", at positions 537 to 985 of the family's 1831-position model. Lineage: Eukaryota; Apicomplexa; Aconoidasida; Piroplasmida; Babesiidae. The record is from RNAcentral.